CCUACGGGUGGCAGCAGUGGGGAAUAUUGCGCAAUGGUCGCAAGCCUGAUCCAGCAACGCCGCGUGAAGGAAUAAGGCUUUCGGGUUGUAAACUUCUUUUAUCAGGGACCACGCAAGUGACGUUACCUGAUUAAUACGCCACGGAUAACUACGUGCCAGCAGCCGCGGUAAUACGUAGGUGGCAAGCGUUAUCCGGAUUUACUGGGUGUAAAGGGCGUGUAUGCGGGAUUGCAAGUCAGAUGUGAAAACUAUGGGCUCAACCCAUAGCCUGCAUUUGAAACUGUACGUCUUGAGUGCUGGAGAGGCAAUCGGAAUUCCGUGUGUAGCGGUGAAAUGCGUAGAUAUCCGGAGGAACACCAGUGGCGAAGGCGGAUUGCUGGACAGUAACUGACGCUGAGGCGCGAAAGCGUGGGGAGCAAACAGGAUUAGAUACCCCUGUAGUC
Molecule: ribosomal RNA, 443 nt
Filed under: uncultured bacterium
Lineage: Bacteria
Description: partial 16S ribosomal RNA
Rfam family: Bacterial small subunit ribosomal RNA
Source: RNAcentral